GAUGAACGCUGGCGGCGUGCUUAACACAUGCAAGUCGAACGGAAAGGCCAGUGCUUGCACUGGUACUCGAGUGGCGAACGGGUGAGUAACACGUGUGUAAUCUGCCCUGCACAUCGGGAUAAGCCUGCGAAACUGGGUCUAAUACCGGAUAGGACAAUGGGAUGGAUGCCGUUGUGGAAAGUAUUUUGGGUGUGGGAUGAGCUCGCGGCCUAUCAGCUUGUGGGUGGGGUAAUGGCCUACCAAGGCGUCGACGGGUAGCCGGCCUGCGAGGGUGUACGGCGAGAUUGGGACUGAGAUACGACCCAGACUCCGACGGGAGGCAGCAAUGGGGAAUAUUGCACAAUGGGCGCGCGCCGCAUGGAGCGACGCGGCGUGGGGGUUGACGGUCUUCUGGUUGUAAACUCCGUUCGCUAGGGACGAAGCGUAUUUGUGACGGUACCUGGAGAAGAAGCACCGGCUAACUACGUG
Molecule: ribosomal RNA, 468 nt
Filed under: uncultured bacterium
Lineage: Bacteria
Description: partial 16S ribosomal RNA
Rfam family: Bacterial small subunit ribosomal RNA
Source: RNAcentral